This 381-nucleotide ribosomal RNA is filed under the name uncultured bacterium. Its description in RNAcentral is "bacterial SSU rRNA". It matches the Rfam family "Bacterial small subunit ribosomal RNA", at positions 32 to 399 of the family's 1533-position model. The record is from RNAcentral.
AAUCAACGCUGGCGGCGUGCCUCAGACAUGCAAGUCGAACGAUUAAAGCUCUCUUCGGAGAGUGCAUAGAGUGGCGCACGGGUGAGUAACACGUAAGUAAUCUACCUUCGAGUGGGGAAUAACGUCCGGAAACGGACGCUAAUACCGCAUAAUGCAGCGGCAUCGUAAGAUGACAGUUGUUAAAGAUUUAUCGCUUGAAGAGGAGCUUGCGGCAGAUUAGCUAGUUGGUAAGGUAAUGGCUUACCAAGGCUACGAUCUGUAACCGGUCUUAGAGGACGGUCGGUCACACUGACACUGAAUAACGGGUCGAGACUCCUACGGAGGCGAGCAGUCGGGAAGUUUUGGGUCGAAUGGCGGAAAGACCUCGACCACGCACGACCG